GAUGAACGCUGGCGGCGUGCCUAAUACAUGCAAGUCGAGCGAACGGACGAGAAGCUUGCUUCUCUGAUGUUAGCGGCGGACGGGUGAGUAACACGUGGAUAACCUACCUAUAAGACUGGGAUAACUUCGGGAAACCGGAGCUAAUACCGGAUGAUAUUUUGAACCGCAUGGUUCAAAAGUGAAAGACGGUCUUGCUGUCACUUAUAGAUGGAUCCGCGCUGCAUUAGCUAGUUGGUAAGGUAACGGCUUACCAAGGCAACGAUGCAUAGCCGACCUGAGAGGGUGAUCGGCCACACUGGAACUGAGACACGGUCCAGACUCCUACGGGAGGCAGCAGUGGGGAAUCUUCCGCAAUGGGCGAAAGCCUGACGGAGCAACGCCGCGUGAGUGAUGAAGGUCUUCGGAUCGUAAAACUCUGUUAUUAGGUAAGAACAUAUGUGUAAGUAACUGUGCACAUCUUGACGGUACCUAAUCAGAAAGCCACGGCUAACUACGUG
Molecule: ribosomal RNA, 497 nt
Filed under: uncultured bacterium
Lineage: Bacteria
Description: partial 16S ribosomal RNA
Rfam family: Bacterial small subunit ribosomal RNA
Source: RNAcentral